UUGAUGUGAGAGUGAAACAUUGAUUGGUUGCCUCCUGCACACUCUGUACUGGGGAUUGAGCCUGCAACCUGGGCAUGUGCCCUCCCUGGGAAUUGAAUCAGCAACCUUUUGUUGCACAGGAUGAUGCCCAACCAGCUGAGCCACACCGGCCAGGGCCAUCUCUUUAUUUUUAAUCUGUGUGUCUUUCAAUCUGAAAUGUGGGUCUCUUUUGGGGAGCGUAUAUACAGGUCUUGUUUUUUUAUUCAGCCACCUAUGUCUUUUUUAAUAUAUUUUAUUGAUUUUUUACAGAGAGGUAGGGAGAGGGAUAGAGAGUUAGAAACAUCGAUGAGAGAGAAACAUCGACCAGCUGCCUCCUGCACACCCCCUGCUGGGGAUGUGCCUGCAAUCAAGGUACAUGCCCUUGACUGGAAUUGAACCUGGGACCUUUCAGUCCGCAGGCCGACGCUCUAUCCACUGAGCCAAACCGGUUAGGGCCACCCUAUGUCUUUUGAUUGGAUCAUUUAUCUAUUUACAUAUAAAGUAAUUAUUGGCAAGUAUAUAGUAGUUGUCAUUUUAUUGUCUUCAUUUUUGAGUUGCAGUUUACAUUCAAUAUUAUGUUAAACAAUCAUGUACUUUUACAGAGUGAUCAUAAUUAUUGCAAUUUUUAAAAAAUAUAUUUUAUUUAUUUCAGAGAGGAAUGGAGAGUGAGAUAGAAACGUCAAUGAUGAGAGAGAAUCAUUGAUUGGCUGCCUCCCGCAUGGCCCCCACUGGGGAUCGAACCUGCAACCCAGGCAUGUGCCCUUGACUGGAAUCGAACCCAGGAUCUUUCAAUCCACAGGCCGAUGCUCUAUCUACUGAGCUAAACUGGCUAGGGCAAUUAUUGCAAUAUUAUUGACUGUAUUCCCUAUGCUGUAAUUUACUUCUUUGUGACUAUUCUGUAACUACCAAUUUGUACUUCUUAAUCCCUUCACCUUUUUCCACCUAGUCCCCUCUGUUCUCUGCGUCUAGGUCUGUUCUUUUGUUCUUUAGAUUCCACAUAUAAGUGAAAUUAUAUGGUAUUUAUCUUUCUUUGACCGACUUAUUUCACUUAGUAUAAUAUGCUCUAGGUCCAUCGAUGCUGUUGCAAAUGGUAUAUUGUUUUUGGAUUGUUCUUGUAAUUCUUCUCUGUUCUUUAUUCUCCUGCUCUCUUUGAUGUUGACUUUAUUAUUAUUAUUUUUUAAUAUUUUUAUUGGUUUCAGAGAGGAAGGGAGAGGGAGAGAGAUAGAAACGUCAGUGAUGAGAAUGAAUCAUUGAUCAGCUGCCUCCUGCACACCUCCUACUGGAGAUCGAGUCCACAACCUGGGCAUGUGCCCUUGACCAGAAUUGAACCUGAGACCCUUCAGUCUGCAGGCUGACGCUCUAUCCAUUGAGCCAAAUCGGCUAGGGCGAUGUUGAUGACUUUAUAUAGUUUAUGUUUGGAUUCCUUUCUCUUAAUUUUUUUUUAUCUUAGAGAUUUUUGGUUUGUGGUUACCAUGUGCUUGAUCUAUAGCAAGCUGUGUUUAUAGCUGUCUAUUUUAAGUUGAUGGUUGGGUAAUUUAAUUCCCAACACAUUGUAAAUUCACUGCAAUUUUUACUUACCUCUUCCACUUUUUAUGCUUUUGUCAUUUUUUUUACUUUUUUUCGUAUGUGUGUGUUUAUGUGUAUCUUAAUUUGUUGUAAUUACACGUGAUCUUUCUUCUUUUGUCUUUUAACCUUGGUACUAACUUGGUUAAUGCAUUGCUUUUACUAAGGGUUUGCCUUUGUCAGUAAGAUUUUUUUCUUUUCUAUAUUUUCUUAUUUACAUUUGAUCUCUUAUUUUCUACUUGAAGUCUCUUUAACUUUUUUUUAUAAUACUCGUUUAGUGGUGAUGAACUCCUUUAGCUUUUUCUUGUAGGGAAACUGUUUUCUCUCUCCUUCAAUUCUAAAUUAUAGCCUUGCUGGGUAGAAUAGACUUGGUUGCAGGUCCUUUAUUUAUUUAUUUUUUUAGUUCUUGUCAUGUAUUUUACUUUUUCUUUUAAAAAAAAAUUUAUUGAAUAUACUGGGGUGACAUUGGUUAAUGAAAUUAUAUAGGUUUCAAGUGUACAAUUCUAUAAUCAUCUGUAUGUUGUGUUAUGUGUUCACCACCCAAAGUCAAGUCUCCUUCCAUCAUCAUUUAAUCCCCCUUUACCCUCUUCUACAUUCCCCCACCCCUCUUUCCCUCUGGUAAUCACCACACUGAUGUUUGCUUAAUUCCUUCACCUAAUUUCACCCAUCUUCCCAGUCCCCUUCCCUCUGACAGCUGUCAAUCUAUUCUCUGUAAUUAUGAGUCUGUUUCUAUUUUGUUAGUUUAUUUUAUUCAUUAGAUUCCACAUAUAAGUGAAAUCAUAUGGUAUUUGUCUCUCUUCGGCUUAUUUCACUUACAUAAUACUCUCCAGGUCCAUCCAUGCUGUUAUGAAAGGUAAGAUUUCCUUCCUUUUUUAUGUCUGAGUAGUAUUUCAUUGUGUAAAUGUACCACAGCUUUUUUAGCCACUCAUCUACUGAUGGACACUUAGGCUGCUUCCAAAUCUUGGCUAUUGUAAAUAAUGCUGCAGUGAACAUAGAGCUGCAUAUAUUCUUUUGCAAUAGUGUUUUGGGUCUCUUCGGAUAUAUUCCCAGAGAACCCAUCUCUGCAGGGGGAACCUUUGCAGCUGAAAUAUCCACCUAAAUCUCAGCUGCUGCCUGUGGAAGCAGGGCCAACCCUUUUUGUGUCUCUGCCCUUCCUACCAGUCUCACUGUGACUUCUUCUGUAAAUCCUUGGUUAUAAGUUUCAGCUAGUCUCCAGUUGGUUAUUCAGGUUGAUUGUUCUAUAUUUUAUUUGUAAUUCCAAUUGGUUCUGGGAGGCGGUUAGUGUAACAUCCACUUACAUCUUGGAUCAUUCUCUUUUCAUCACUUUGAAUAUUUUGUGCCAGUGUCUUCUGGCCUGCAAAGUUUCUGUGGAAAAAUCAGUUGAAAGUCUUAUGGGAGCUCUCUUGUAGGUUAUUAACUGAUUUUCUCUUGCUACUUUUAAGGUUCUCUCUUUAUCUUUAACACUCAUUUUGGCCCCUUAUCUGUGUUUGUUUCUAUGUAUGAGGUCAAUCUGUUCUGUCUCCUGAUAUUGACAGAGUGGCCUUAUAUAGAAAGUGUCUUGUAGGGCUCAGUUGCACAGUCUCUCUAAUCACCUGAGCUUGGUCCUCCAGGGGUAUCCCCUGUGUGUGGGUUGUGUGUUCCCUCUUGUUGUAGUUAUGCUUCAAUUGGUGCUGGCAUAUCAAUAGGUGGAAUUGACCCUCACUCAGGCUGGCUGACUGUGUGGGCUAGCCGUGCCUAUUGUGGUUGAGCUGUUAUGUGGGGACUGACCCUUGAGAGUGGGAGUCGCUUUUGUAGGAGUCUUAUUCUAGCUGAGUCUGCCCUUUGGGUGUUUUGGUUCUGGAGUUGGUUGGGUGGGAAUUUGAUGGCAUUCUGAAGCAGGACACUGGGCAUGUUGGGUUACUGGAGACUCUUGGGAGGGGCUCUGGUUCAGGCCAAGGAUGGUUGCCGUCGUGCAGGGUUUCAGGCUGCUUGGCAGAAGUUACAAUUUAUGCUGUUUGUAUGGUUAAAAUUUUUAGUUUUGCAGUCCAUACUCUCUGUCACCUCUGUUCAUCUUUGCCGUUAGAUCAGGAAAACACCAUAAAUGGUUAUAUAAAUGGAUGAACGUAGGUGUGUUCCAAUAAAAUUUGAUUGACAAAAAAUAGGCAACAUGUAAGAUUUGGCUUACAGACUGUAGUUUGUCAGCCCAUGGUCUAAACCAGGGGUGGGGAACGUGCAGGCCGUAUAAGACUUUUGCGCAGUCAUUUGGUCUAGCCCUGCCAAGGUAUUAGGGGGUGAGUUAAUUAAAUGUUUCAUGACAUAUAGCAAGCUAAUUUUAAGUUGAUAAUUUUGUAUGGCCCGCAGAUGAUGUUAUAAAUAUCCAAAUGGCCUUUGGCAGAAAAAAUGUCCCCCACCCCUGGUCUAAACGAAUAGCAAACGUCAUGCUUAUUCACCCAUGUUUAACAUUCUUGCAAUAUUGUAGAGAUAUAACCAGGAAGUAUUUAGUUUAUGCCAUUACCUUUUAGUCAGCUCAUAAGACCAGUUUGCAUAAGGAGGAUCUCUGAAGGUUCCAACCUUUGGUACCCAUAUUUGUUUUUGUUUUUUUCCAUUUUUUUUGUUGAUUCUCAUCCAAGGAUAUUAUAAGGGAGAGGGAGAGACAGAGAAAAACAUUGAUGUGAGAGAGAUACAUCGGUUGGUUGCCUCCUGCAUGCUCCCCGACAGGGCUGAGGGUCAAGCCUGCAAGCAAGUUAUGUGCCCUUGACCAGAAUCGAACCCAGGACCCUUCAGUCUGCAGCUGAUGUUUUAUCCACUGAGUCAAACAAGCUAGGGCAUUUUAUUUUAUU
This is a long non-coding RNA of Myotis daubentonii (Daubenton's bat), 4400 nucleotides long. RefSeq lists it as uncharacterized. The record is from RefSeq and is a predicted model, not a curated record. NCBI's taxonomy places the organism in Eukaryota, Metazoa, Chordata, Mammalia, Chiroptera, Vespertilionidae.